Molecule: transfer RNA, 59 nt
Filed under: Salmo salar (Atlantic salmon)
Lineage: Eukaryota; Metazoa; Chordata; Actinopteri; Salmoniformes; Salmonidae
Also listed under: 1 other name
Rfam family: tRNA
About the family: Transfer RNA (tRNA) molecules are approximately 80 nucleotides in length.
Source: Rfam by way of RNAcentral
UGGCUCAGUUGGUAGAGCAUGGUGCUUGCCAACACCAGAGUUGUGGGUUUGAUUCCCAU